ACUUGACUGAAAAUCAAAUUCAUUAGGAAUUCAACAUUUAAAUUAAAAUUCAACACUUGAAUUAAAAUGGAAUUGAAAUGAUCAAACUGUAAAAUAAACUACACGCUUCAGAAAUAGAAUUCAUGCUGUGUUUUGAAAUAGAACUGGAAAAGAAAAGAGGCAAAAGCCUCCUCCAAGCCGUGACUUCUCCUAAACUACUCCUAAUCUCACACUAAAAUCCCCUAAACUCUCUGCCUGCUGCUGUCCUUUUAUUGCCAAUUCUCUGAUUUCUUUACUCAAUUAAUGAGCAAGUGGGAUCUCCAUUUUGUGGUGUCCGUUUCCAGCCCAAGAUUCACGUGAAUUCCCCUCCAGCCAUUCCAAACUGCUGUAGCUUCCUCUACUGCCAUGUCCGUGAACUACUCUUUCUUCCAACCAAUCCAUCACGUGAAUAACUCAACACUUAGUGAAGCACUUUCUCCUUUCUCACGCUGGACUUUGUGGUUGCUGCAUUUGAAGCUACUAAAUGCUUGCUGGCCGUAUAAGUGCAGCCCCUUGUGAAGUGUUGGUGCUGGAUUAAGGUGAUGGACAUCCUCAAAGCUUGCUACCGUGUUCUCGGGUGGUGAUGGACAUCCUCAAAGCUUGCUACCGUGUUCUCGGGUGGUGGCUCCAACCUGUCCCAGCUUUCUCUCCGUGAAGCCCAUUGACGUGAACUCCUUUCU
This 698-nucleotide small RNA is filed under the name Vigna angularis var. angularis. RNAcentral describes it as "Non-protein coding transcript". Lineage: Eukaryota; Viridiplantae; Streptophyta; Magnoliopsida; Fabales; Fabaceae. The record is from RNAcentral.